UACAGAGGUCCCAAGCGUUGUUCGGAUUCACUGGGCGUAAAGGGUGCGUAGGUGGCGAGGUAAGUCGGAUGUGAAAGCUCGGAGCUCAACUCCGAAAUGGCAUUGGAAACUACCUUGCUCGAGGGUUGGAGGGGGGACUGGAAUUCUCGGUGUAGCAGUGAAAUGCGUAGAUAUCGAGAGGAACACCAGUGGCGAAGGCGAGUCCCUGGACAACUCCUGACACUGAGGCACGAAAGCUAGGGGAGCAAACGGG
RNAcentral lists this ribosomal RNA (253 nucleotides) under uncultured bacterium. RNAcentral describes it as "partial 16S ribosomal RNA". It matches the Rfam family "Bacterial small subunit ribosomal RNA", at positions 524 to 776 of the family's 1533-position model. The record is from RNAcentral.